This 492-nucleotide ribosomal RNA is filed under the name uncultured bacterium. Its description in RNAcentral is "partial 16S ribosomal RNA". It matches the Rfam family "Bacterial small subunit ribosomal RNA", at positions 29 to 507 of the family's 1533-position model. The record is from RNAcentral.
AGUGAACGCUGGCGGUAGGCCUAACACAUGCAAGCCGAACGGCAGCACAGUAAGAGCUUGCUCUUACGGGUGUCGAGUGGCGGACGGGUGAGGAAUACAUCGGAAUCUACUUUUUCGUGGGGGAUAACGUAGGGAAACUUACGCUAAUACCGCAUACGACCUACGGGUGAAAGCAGGGGAUCUUCGGACCUUGCGCGAUUGAAUGAGCCGAUGUCGGAUUAGCUAGUUGGCGGGGUAAAGGCCCACCAAGGCGACGAUCCGUAGCUGGUCUGAGAGGAUGAUCAGCCACACUGGAACUGAGACACGGUACAGACUCCUACGGGAGGAAGCAGUGGGGAAUAUUGGGCAAUGGGCGCAAGCCUGAUCCAGCCAUACCGCGUGGGUGAAGAAGGACUUCGGGUUGUAAAGCCCUUUUGUUGGGAAAGAAAAGAAGCAGGUUAAUACCCCGCGGUUCUGACGGUACCCAAAGAAUAAGCACCGGCUAACUUCGUG